GCCGGGAUAGCUCAGUUGGUAAAGC
Molecule: transfer RNA, 25 nt
Filed under: Bryopteris filicina
Lineage: Eukaryota; Viridiplantae; Streptophyta; Jungermanniopsida; Porellales; Lejeuneaceae
Also listed under: 1 other name
Description: partial transfer RNA-Phe
Source: RNAcentral